GAAGCUCAAUUCAGAGAGCUGUGAGUUGCAGAAGCAAACGCUCCAAACCGGCUGCUAACCACAGCUCCCCAGUGCUCUGUGUUUGACUGCUGAUAUUAAACAGAGUAUUUUGUCUACGACGGGGUGUUACUUUGCUCAGGGGAUGAUUAAGUGCACAAGCGAUGGAAGGAUAUUCAAUCUCAUUGAAGAAGAGUGCAAUUACACGACAAGUUCAGCAGGUAUGUUCUGAUAUGAUUCCACCAAUCAGAAGUGAGGACUGCAGUUUUCCAUUUCAUGAAAUAACCAGCCGAACAGGAGCAGUGUCAGCCCAAUGUCUCAUGCAACCGUCACCAAGUGCUAUCUAGCUUUGACUCCCUGCCAUAUGUUCUCCCUGGCGCAGGCUGCCACAGAGGAAGAAGGAAGAGAGGAAGGGGGGGUAGUGGUGGUGGAGGGGCUGUCUCUGCACAUCUCCUACAGACUGACAGAGUUAAUAAGGGACAGUGCUUGGUGAAAUCUGUCUAAACGAACCGGCCUGUCGCGAAAGAUAAUCCCUGUGAAUACAAAAUAAAUCAUUGGAUCACUGGAAGAAGCUCAGCUAAUGAAAUCAAUGCUCGCCAUCUGGGACCAUUUCAUGUGUGACAUACGCCUACAAAGAGGCCAGUUGGACCUGUGAUGGUGAAACCAUGGUAACAGGAAGUAGUACAUUACUAGCCUAGGGAGGUGACACCAUGACACCCUCCACCUUCACAUUGGUGCCUAUUAGAGGGAGACAUCACCAGAGGUACUUUGGUGAUGGAUCGAGGAAACUGUGAGCCCGCCAUCACACAUGCAGGGAUCACCCAAUUUUACGCUGAUUGUCCUAUAUCAGCUGUUGACAUUUUUGCCCUCUAGUAAGCAGUGCUCCUUCUGGUAGGACUAUAAUGACAUGCCAUGGUGCAUGGAGGGUCUCUGAGGAGAGCUGUCCGCCUCUUUCUACUCAAAUGUUCUCCAUCUGUCCUCCCCCUCUCCCCUCCUGUGUCAUCCCUCUGUUUAAAAACGUCAGUCUUAAUAAAUCAAAAAGUCAGGUUACCGAGUUUUAAAAACAGCUCUAGUUGGGUCAUCAAACAGUGUCUAACCCUGCCUUCCGAAAACGAUUAAUACAUUUGCUUUUAGAUAUGGUUGAACAACAUAUCCUACGGAAUACAAAAUCUGUGAUCACUGUGAGAUAGCCCAGCCAGCCAGCCAAAUUAAAACGCCCUAUGACAUGCUGCUUUUUGGAUGCUUUUAUAUAGACCUUA
Perca fluviatilis (European perch) is the source of this 1256-nucleotide long non-coding RNA. RefSeq lists it as uncharacterized. NCBI's taxonomy places the organism in Eukaryota, Metazoa, Chordata, Actinopteri, Perciformes, Percidae. The record is from RefSeq and is a predicted model, not a curated record. The transcript has 3 exons.